Long non-coding RNA from Gopherus evgoodei (Goodes thornscrub tortoise), 1822 nucleotides. RefSeq lists it as uncharacterized. NCBI's taxonomy places the organism in Eukaryota, Metazoa, Chordata, Testudines, Testudinidae. The transcript has 3 exons. The record is from RefSeq and is a predicted model, not a curated record.
UUGAGAAGGAAGAUCUCAAGUGAGUGCCCAUUACAGGAGGCACCUCUCAUAAUGUACAAUAAAAUCAAUCAUUGCUUCCAGCAGAAUACAAAAAUACACAUCUCAGUGACUUCCAUACAAUAAUAAAUAUGUAAUCAUGCAUCCAACAAUUAAAAGGCACAGAAAACUAGUCACUUAGUAGUCAUAAAAAUUACUAACUAUAUUAACAAAGCCACCCGAAUUAUCUGUACAAGGAAAUGUAACAAUAUAUUCCAAAGGUGAAAACAUAAACCAUCUUUAAAAUAGUAUAUGCAAUAAAUACCUCAAUUGUUUUAUAUAUUAAAAAUAAAACUGUGCCAUUGUAAACAGUAUGUAAACAAACAAAACUCACUGUUCCUUACCAUUAUUAAAAGUAAAUAAAGCAAAAAGUUACAACCCUGCUCUGUUAGAUAUAUUUCAUUGGCAAGUUUUUCAGGCAGUUUAAAGUUGUACUCUUUUCUGCAGCAAACAGAGCCCACUGUGUAUCUUACUCUUAGAAAUAAGCACUACAGCAUUACUAUGCUUCAAAACUGACCACCUGAAAUGUAGUAGGUCCUUAAAUAUCAACAAGAUUGUCAGAACUGAAACUUAAGAAAAGCGAUUUUGCAGUGUUAUGGACAAAAGUAACUGAAUUAUAUGAAAUACUAUAGUGUCAGUAUAACUUAGCAACCUAUAUAACACCGUUCAUCCACAGAUCUCAGAGUGCUUCACAAAGGUGGGUAAGCAUUAUUAUCUCCAUUUUACAGAAGGAGAAACUGAGGCACAGCUUGGUUAAGUGACUGCCCAAAGUUAUACAGGAAGUCAAUGGCAGAGAGCUAGGAGUAUAAUCCAGGGCUCCCAACUCCCAGUCUGGUGCUCUAUCCACUGGACUAUACUUCCUCAUUCCCUAUAUAUUCUUAGUUUGAGAUUUAAUUUGUUAUGUCCUUUAGGACAAUGAGUAUGGAGUCCUGCACUCACAGUUCCCAAGUAUAAUUAUAGAAAAAAUAAGGAAGAUGUGUAGGAGAGUUAUCUGCUUGCUUAGACCAGAAUCUGCUCCCACUGAAGGCAAUGGGAGUUUUUCUAUUGACAACAGGCAGGGGGGCACGAUCAAACUUAGGCAGACUUGUGUGCCCAUGAAAAGCCUUAGUAAGUCUCUGCGCUAGCCCAGCGGUCAGUCCUUGCAGGCCUGAUUGCAGAAUCAAGGCCUUUAUGUUUAGUCUUUUGGUGUCUGAUCCUUCAAGGAACAAGCAGACAAAACUUUCAGGUCGUUCAACCAGGGUGGCAGAUCAGGCUGUUUUCCAACAUCAUUUUUAUCAAGGGGGUGGAGGGGUACAAACAAAAAACCUAAAAAUCUAUGAACCUACGUAAUUUUCCCUUUGAAAAAAAACAUUAGGGAACAGGUGACAUUCGACAUCUAUAGCACAUCCCUGCCAAAGGAGAAUGUUUAGCUUCUCAGUUCUUCAGCUUUUGAUAACAUUGGUACAGAGUCAUAAUUUUAAGAACCUUAUUGUAUCCCUGGGAGGUUCUUCACCAGUGAUUAUCUGUGACAAACACUGAUCUGUUUCAGAUGUGCAUAUGCCAAAGUGCAUAGUGGUUCUUAUCUGAAAUUAAUAUAUUUAGGUCUAGAUUAAGGUAUUAAAAGUAUCAAGGUAUGUUUAUUUCAAUGUUUCACAAUAUAACAUUUUUUCAUGGCAAGUGGUGAAAGGCAUCCACCUAAAGUAUACACAGGUUCAUAUAUCCCUUUAGAAGGGAUUCAGGAAGCACAACAUUACUGUAUUUCUCUUCUACUAGUAAAAGCAGCAAAGAAUCCUGUGGCACCUUAUAG